GACGAACCGUGCAAACGUUGUUCGGAAUCACUGGGCUUAAGGGGCGCGUAGGCGGGCAAGCAAGUCGAAGGUGAAAUCCCACGGCUCAACCGUGGAAGUGCCCCCGAUACUGCUUGUCUUGAGGGAGAUAGGGGCGUGCGGAACUUCCGGUGGAGCGGUGAAAUGCGUAGAUAUCUGGAGGAACACCGGUGGCGAAGGCGGCAUCCUGGACCGGCAUUGACGCUGAGGCGCGAAAGCUAGGGGAGCAAACGGG
Molecule: ribosomal RNA, 253 nt
Filed under: uncultured bacterium
Lineage: Bacteria
Description: partial 16S ribosomal RNA
Rfam family: Bacterial small subunit ribosomal RNA
Source: RNAcentral